CGCCUGUUUAUCAAAAACAUCGCCUCUUGUUCAAUUAUAGGAGGUCCAGCCUGCCCAGUGACUUUGUUCAACGGCCGCGGUAUCCUAACCGUGCGAAGGUAGCGUAAUCACUUGUUCUUUAAAUGAGGACUAGUAUGAAUGGCCCCACGAGGGCUGCACUGUCUCCUUUUUCUAAUCAAUGAAACUAAUCUCCCCGUGAAGAAGCGGGAAUUAUCCUAUAAGACGAGAAGACCCUAUGGAGCUUUAAACAAUUGAAACAUUUGCUUUUCUCCUAACUCCUCCCGAGCUCUUUAUUUUUAUUUAAGCAUUAUUAUUUCUAGUUUUAGGUUGGGGUGACCACGGAGCAAAACUAAACCUCCAUGAAGAAAUGAAUAUUUUUAAGCCACAAACUACUUUUUUAAGCAUCAACAAAUUGACCUUCAUUGACCCAAUAUAUUGAUCAACGAACCAAGUUACCCUAGGGAUAACAGCGCAAUCUACUUCAAGAGCUCAUAUCGACAAGUAGGUUUACGACCUCGAUGUUGGAUCAGGGUAUCCUAGUGGUGCAGCCGCUACUAAUGGUUCGUUU
This 568-nucleotide ribosomal RNA is filed under the name Ameerega trivittata (three-striped poison frog). RNAcentral's name for it is "partial large subunit ribosomal RNA". It matches the Rfam family "Bacterial large subunit ribosomal RNA", at positions 1797 to 2578 of the family's 2925-position model. The record is from RNAcentral. Lineage: Eukaryota; Metazoa; Chordata; Amphibia; Anura; Dendrobatidae.